Molecule: ribosomal RNA, 205 nt
Filed under: uncultured bacterium
Lineage: Bacteria
Description: partial 16S ribosomal RNA
Rfam family: Bacterial small subunit ribosomal RNA
Source: RNAcentral
CGUAGGUGGUGUCGUAAGUUUGCGGUGAAAGCCCGGGGCUCAACCCCGGGUCUGCCGCGGAUACUGCGAGACUUGAGUGCUGUAGAGGCAGGUAGAAUAUCGGGUGUAGCGGUGGAAUGCGUAGAGAUCCGAUAGAAGACCGGUGGCGAAGGCGGCCUGCUGGGCAGUAACUGACACUGAGGCGCGACAGCGUGGGGAGCAAACA